Molecule: ribosomal RNA, 253 nt
Filed under: uncultured bacterium
Lineage: Bacteria
Description: partial 16S ribosomal RNA
Rfam family: Bacterial small subunit ribosomal RNA
Source: RNAcentral
UACGUAGGGUGCGAGCGUUAAUCGGAAUUACUGGGCGUAAAGCGUGCGCAGGCGGUUUUGUAAGCCAGAUGUGAAAUCCCCGGGCUUAACCUGGGAAUGGCAUUUGGGACUGCAAGGCUGGAGUGCGGCAGAGGAGACUGGAAUUCCCGGUGUAGCAGUGAAAUGCGUAGAUAUCUGGAGGAACACCGGUGGCGAAGGCGGCAUCCUGGACCGAGAUCGACGCUGAGGCGCGAAAGCUAGGGGAGCAAACGGG